AGCCAGCAUAGUGUAGUGGUUUGAGUGUUGGACUAGGACUCUGGAGAUCAGGGUUCAAAUCCCUGCUUGGCUA
This 73-nucleotide transfer RNA is filed under the name Phrynosoma platyrhinos (Desert horned lizard). Its description in RNAcentral is "tRNA-OTHER". The record is from RNAcentral. Lineage: Eukaryota; Metazoa; Chordata; Lepidosauria; Squamata; Phrynosomatidae.